GACGAACGCUGGCGGCGUGCUUAACACAUGCAAGUCGAACGGAAAGGCCCGGCUUUUGUGGGGUGCUCGAGUGGCGAACGGGUGAGUAACACGUGAGUAACCUGCCCUUGACUUUGGGAUAACUUCAGGAAACUGGGGCUAAUACCGGAUAGGAGCUCCUGCUGCAUGGUGGGGGAUGGAAAGUUUCGGCGGUUGGGGAUGGACUCGCGGCUUAUCAGCUUGUUGGUGGGGUAGUGGCGGACAAAGGCUUUGACGGGUAGCCGGCCUGAGAGGGUGACCGGCCUCCUUGGGCCUGCGAUACGGCCCAGACUCCUACGGGCGGCAGCAGUGGAGAGUAUUGCACAGUGGGCGGGAGCCUGAUGCAGCAGCGCCGCGUGCGGGAUGACGGCCUUCGGGUUGUAAACCGCUUUCGCCUGUGACGAAGCGUGCGUGACGGUAAUGGGUCAAGAAGCACCGGCUAACUACGUG
This 468-nucleotide ribosomal RNA is filed under the name uncultured bacterium. RNAcentral describes it as "partial 16S ribosomal RNA". It matches the Rfam family "Bacterial small subunit ribosomal RNA", at positions 28 to 507 of the family's 1533-position model. The record is from RNAcentral.